CACGGACCAGGGAGUCUAGCAUGUACGCAAGUCACUGGGCUAUAAUAUAUACUCCAGGGCGUAAUGAAAGUAAAGGUAUGUUGUAUGAUGUACACAUUUUGUGUGCUCAUGCGCUACCAAGGGAAGAUAAGUGUGAAUAAUAUAACACUUCGCAUUCCCAGGGCGUUCCAUAUAAAUUCAUUAUUGAAUUUGGGGCGCACCAAGAGCGUUCACGCUGGGACCCGAAAGAUGGUGAACUAUGC
This 242-nucleotide ribosomal RNA is filed under the name Anentmetus sp. WM-2007. RNAcentral describes it as "partial 28S ribosomal RNA". It matches the Rfam family "Eukaryotic large subunit ribosomal RNA", at positions 660 to 836 of the family's 3401-position model. The record is from RNAcentral. Lineage: Eukaryota; Metazoa; Arthropoda; Insecta; Coleoptera; Carabidae.